Molecule: long non-coding RNA, 960 nt
Organism: Bos taurus (domestic cattle)
Lineage: Eukaryota; Metazoa; Chordata; Mammalia; Artiodactyla; Bovidae
Source: Ensembl
AAACCACCCCCGGGCUCUGGGCUGCAUCCUUCUGCCUCUGCCUUUCCCAGGUGGGGGGCCUCCAUACCCCCACCUGCCUCUAGGUUGGGAGCCUCUCCCUCCCCAGCAUCAUUCCCAUCCCACCAUCCAGCCUCUUCCUACAGCAGCACAAUGCGAGACUUGCAAGCCAAGUUUUAUUUGCAGCAAAAUAAAGACUAUAAGAGUUGACUCAUUGGAAAAGACUCUGAUGCUGGGAGAGAUUGGGGGCAGGAAGAAAAGGGGACGACAGAGGAUGAGAUGGCCGGAUGACAUCACCGACUCGAUGGACGUGGGUUUGAGUGAACUCCAGGAGAUUGUGAUGGACAGGGAGGCCUGGUCUGCUGCGAUUCAUGGGGUCGCAAAGAGUAGGACACGACUGAGCGACUGAACCGAACUGAACUCAACUGAAAAACUAUAACCCAGGAGCAGUUUCUCAGAGGUGUCUGAAGUGCUGUCUGUCCGGCUAUAGUCUUGACAUUUUACUCCAAAUAAAAGUUAACUUACAACUCUCACACCGUGCUUUUUUGUUCUUAAGUCGGCACUAUCAAACAAUUUUGAACAGUAAUGACUAACGUACUUUAAAAAGAGUUUGUGUAGCAUUUAGAAUCAGCACAGGUGCAUCGUAUUAGCAGUUUAUACGCACCCCUUUCCCCAUUCCUAUCAAGGAUGCUCAGCCCUCGGCUUUGCCACUGGAAGAAGUGGCUGUGGAAUGCUGUCUUAUUUACAUAUUUGAACCUUGAAUUCCAGAUUCAAAUCCCUAGUGGAAGAGUAGGGUGAUUUACUAAGGGGAGUUAGAUUCCCCCUCCCUGGCUCUCCUCAAAAAAGGUGCCACCAACGCUUUCCUGUCUGGUGGACAGGGAGACCUAUCUUAAUGUUUGUUAUCUCCCAGGAAGCAGUUAUUUAUGUGUCUCCAGGCCCACCUUUAGCUUCCCAGCCUGGCCC